GAUGAACGCUGGCGGCGUGCUUAACACAUGCAAGUCGAACGAGAAGUGAAGACGGAAACCUUCGGGCGGAAGGCUUUAUUUCGAGUGGCGGACGGGUGAGUAACGCGUGGGUAACCUGCCUCAUACAGGGGGAUAACAGUUGGAAACGACUGUUAAUACCGCAUAAGACCACAGCACCGCAUGGUGCGGGGGUAAAAACUCCGGUGGUAUGAGAUGGACCCGCGUUCGAUUAGCCAGUUGGCGGGGUAACGGCCCACCAAAGCGACGAUCGAUAGCCGAGCUGAGAGGAGGACAGGCUACAACGGGAAUGAGACACGGACCAAACUCCUACGGGAAGCAGCAGUAGGGAAUAUUGCAGAAUGGGGGAAACCCUGAUGAAGCGACGCCGCGUGAGUGAAGAAGUAUUUCGGUAUGUAAAGCUCUAUCAGCAGGGAAGAAAAUGACGGUACCUGAGUAAGAAGCCCCGGCUAACUACGUG
This 478-nucleotide ribosomal RNA is filed under the name uncultured bacterium. Its description in RNAcentral is "partial 16S ribosomal RNA". It matches the Rfam family "Bacterial small subunit ribosomal RNA", at positions 28 to 507 of the family's 1533-position model. The record is from RNAcentral.